AACGCAGGUGGUUCGGUAAGUCAGGGGUGAAAGUCCACAGCUUAACUGUGGCACUGCCUUUGAUACUACCUUUCUUGAGUGCAUGAGGGGGAAGCGGAAUUCCGAGUGUAGAGGUGAAAUUCGUAGAUAUUCGGAGGAACACCGGUGGCGAAGGCGGCUUCCUGGCAUGUAACUGACACUCAUGUUCGAAAGCGUGGGGAGCAAACAGGAUUAGAUACCCUAGUAGUCCACGCCCUAAACGAUGGGCACUAGGUGUGGGAGGUAUCGACCCCUUCCGUGCCGCAGCUAACGCAUUAAGUGCCCCGCCUGGGGAGUACGGCCGCAAGGUUGAA
RNAcentral lists this ribosomal RNA (332 nucleotides) under uncultured bacterium. Its description in RNAcentral is "bacterial SSU rRNA". It matches the Rfam family "Bacterial small subunit ribosomal RNA", at positions 568 to 898 of the family's 1533-position model. The record is from RNAcentral.